AUGGUAGGGGGAGAUCCGCUUAUCACAACGUUUCAACAUGGUGGAUCAUUUAUUUGCCGGCCGAUGACAAAUAUGCCAGAUUUACGCUGUCUACAAAGUCCCCAGGAUGAUCACUGGCUGGUGAGAAGCGUCACGCUCAGAGGGAAACCAGACAGAGGGACACAUGUUUGUGCACUCCUAAAUGAAGUGUGACCACAGUGGACCUCUAAAGCAGGGGCUGAGCUGGGGGCUAUUAUGGGGCCUGACGGUAGGGGGGCGCUGUGAUAAUUUGAUGUGAACUGGCUUGAUAAAUCACUAUGUUGUUACCCUAGCUUUAGUAUCUGUUUAUGUCUCUACAAAUUGAAACCCCACUGGCACAGGGCUGAUGUAGAGCCACUCUCUGGCCCCCCAACGAUUAGUUCAAGGUGGGGAGAGUUUAGAUGGCUGGCCUCUAUUGGCCAUCUCCCUCUUGCUGUUUUGUCUCUCCCUGCUGAGGGAGAAAGCCAUGGACAUGUGUAAGCAAUAAAGCCAAAGGUCUGCCUUCCACCGCAGCCUGAGUGAAAGGAAUGCAGAACCAAACUAUAAAAUAAUAAUGGGUACUGGGGCACGGAAGAGGCAAGGGAGGGUAGAGGUUGGUGGAGAGGGAGCCAUCAGAGGCAGACACAUGUGCAAGGAAGGUGGAGUGUUAAGGUGGGGUGGGGUCCUGAAGCAGAGCCCUCCUCUGACCCCUGGACGUGCAGUUAAAGGCAGAGCGUAGCAAGCAGCCCAGGCUGGCACCACAUCAAAAGGCUGACAGAUGAAGGGCAAAGGCCAGUUUGACCUGGGCGCUAAGCUGCUGCUAAGCCUCUUAAAGCCAGAGGAGAGGUGCAGUAACGGGGAGAGAGAGGCAGCGAGAGGGGAGUGAGACUGACGAGGAAGGAAGGGAGUGAGGGAGACUAAAAGCAAGGAAUAUCAUUCACAACUCCCUCCUCUGUGAUAAUCAAAGGAAUUAUAAAAAAACAAGUCAUGUAGACAAUAAAUACAGAUGCACAGAAGUCAGAAGAGAUAACAUUAAGUACCUUGUAUGGAACUGUCGCACAAGGGGUAUACUUCAUCUAAAGCUAAUAAACCAAAAUCCCUAAAGCCUGUUUAAAGCAGGUUUUUCAUAAUCACCGAAAAUAAACUACA
Molecule: long non-coding RNA, 1146 nt
Filed under: Scophthalmus maximus (turbot)
Lineage: Eukaryota; Metazoa; Chordata; Actinopteri; Pleuronectiformes; Scophthalmidae
Description: lncRNA (ENSSMAG00000032692.1)
Source: RNAcentral